GCCCAAGUGGCGUAAUGGCUAACGCGUCGGCCUCCUAAGCCGAAGAUUGCGAGUUCGAAUCUCGCCUUGGGUA
Non-coding RNA from Sitodiplosis mosellana (orange wheat blossom midge), 73 nucleotides. The record is from the annotation of a RefSeq genome assembly. NCBI's taxonomy places the organism in Eukaryota, Metazoa, Arthropoda, Insecta, Diptera, Cecidomyiidae.